RNAcentral lists this microRNA (22 nucleotides) under Shrimp white spot syndrome virus. Its description in RNAcentral is "wssv-mir162". Lineage: Naldaviricetes; Nimaviridae. The record is from RNAcentral.
AACAACAACAACCAUGACAUCC